Molecule: unclassified non-coding RNA, 334 nt
Filed under: soil metagenome
Description: partial contains 5.8S ribosomal RNA, internal transcribed spacer 2, and large subunit ribosomal RNA
Rfam family: 5.8S ribosomal RNA (bases 1-120)
Source: RNAcentral
GAUGAAGAACGCAGCGAAAUGCGAUAAGUAAUGUGAAUUGCAGAAUUCAGUGAAUCAUCGAAUCUUUGAACGCACAUUGCGCCCGCCAGUAUUCUGGCGGGCAUGCCUGUUCGAGCGUCAUUUCAACCAUCAAGCCCCGGGCUUGUGUUGGGGACCUGCGGCUGCCGCAGGCCCUGAAAUGCAGUGGCGGGCUCGCUGUCACUCCGAGCGUAGUAGUUACAUCUCGCUCUGGGCGUGCUGCGGGUUCCGGCCGUUAAAAGCCUUAUUUACCCAAGGUUGACCUCGGAUCAGGUAGGAAGACCCGCUGAACUUAAGCAUAUCAAUAAGCGGAGGA